This 504-nucleotide ribosomal RNA is filed under the name uncultured bacterium. Its description in RNAcentral is "bacterial SSU rRNA". It matches the Rfam family "Bacterial small subunit ribosomal RNA", at positions 26 to 518 of the family's 1533-position model. The record is from RNAcentral.
AAGAACGAACGCUGGCGGCGCGUCUUAAGCAUGCAAGUCGAACGGCAAGAGGUAGCAAUACCUCCUAGAGUGGCGGACUGGUGAGUAACACGUGGGUGACAUACCCUUCAGAUGGGGAUAGCUAUUAGAAAUAGUAGAUAAUACCGAAUACGAGCACAGGGGUUAGAGAUCUGUGAGGAAAGGAGCUAAGGCUCCGCUGAAGGAAUGGCCUGCGGCCCAUUAGCUAGUUGGUGAGGUAAGAGCCCACCAAGGCGAUGAUGGGUAUCCGGCCUUAGAGGGUGAACGGACACAUUGGGACUGAGAUACGGCCCAGACUCCUACGGGAGGCAGCAGCUAAGAAUAUUCCGCAAUGGACGAAAGUCUGACGGAGCGACGCCGCGUGGAUGAAGAAGGCCGGAAGGUUGUAAAAUCCUUUUGAAACUGAAGAAUAAGCGUUGUAGGGAAUGACAGCGUGGUGACAGUAGGUUUUGAAUAAGCAACGGCUAAUUACGUGCCAGCCGCCGC